RNAcentral lists this non-coding RNA (32 nucleotides) under Geobacter sulfurreducens KN400. Lineage: Bacteria; Pseudomonadati; Thermodesulfobacteriota; Desulfuromonadia; Geobacterales; Geobacteraceae. The record is from RNAcentral.
CCCUCGUGGGCGAUGGCGCCGGAGGCGGCCAG